Molecule: ribosomal RNA, 438 nt
Filed under: Micrococcus sp. oral taxon F54
Lineage: Bacteria; Bacillati; Actinomycetota; Actinomycetes; Micrococcales; Micrococcaceae
Description: bacterial SSU rRNA
Rfam family: Bacterial small subunit ribosomal RNA
Source: RNAcentral
GAUGAACGCUGGCGGCGUGCUUAACACAUGCAAGUCGAACGAUGAAGCCCAGCUUGCUGGGUGGAUUAGUGGCGAACGGGUGAGUAACACGUGAGUAACCUGCCCUUGACUCUGGGAUAAGCCCGGGAAACUGGGUCUAAUACCGGAUAGGAGCGCCUGUCGCAUGACGGGUGUUGGAAAGAUUUUUCGGUCAUGGAUGGACUCGCGGCCUAUCAGCUUGUUGGUGAGGUAAUGGCUCACCAAGGCGACGACGGGUAGCCGGCCUGAGAGGGUGACCGGCCACACUGGGACUGAGACACGGCCCAGACUCCUACGGGAGGCAGCAGUGGGGAAUAUUGCACAAUGGGCGGAAGCCUGAUGCAGCGACGCCGCGUGAGGGAUGACGGCCUUCGGGUUGUAAACCUCUUUCAGUAGGGAAGAAGCGAAAGUGACGGUACC